Molecule: ribosomal RNA, 492 nt
Filed under: uncultured bacterium
Lineage: Bacteria
Description: partial 16S ribosomal RNA
Rfam family: Bacterial small subunit ribosomal RNA
Source: RNAcentral
GAUGAACGCUAGCUACAGGCUUAACACAUGCAAGUCGAGGGGAAACGGCAUUGAGUGCUUGCACUCUUUGGACGUCGACCGGCGCACGGGUGAGUAACGCGUAUCCAACCUUCCCAUUACUGUGGGAUAACCUGCCGAAAGGCAGACUAAUACCGCAUAGUCUUCGAUGACGGCAUCAGAUUUGAAGUAAAGAUUUAUCGGUGAUGGAUGGGGAUGCGUCUGAUUAGCUUGUUGGCGGGGUAACGGCCCACCAAGGCGACGAUCAGUAGGGGUUCUGAGAGGAAGGUCCCCCACAUUGGAACUGAGACACGGUCCAAACUCCUACGGGAGGCAGCAGUGAGGAAUAUUGGUCAAUGGGCGGAAGUCUGAACCAGCCAAGUAGCGUGCAGGAUGACGGCCCUAUGGGUUGUAAACUGCUUUUGUAUGGGGAUAAAGUUAGGGACGUGUCCCUAUUUGCAGGUACCAUACGAAUAAGGACCGGCUAAUUCCGUG